UCCAGCUUCAGUGCUGCAUCGCAGUCGUGUUUAGCCUCAGCAAACCUCUCAACCUUCAAGUAGCACAGGGCUCUGCAAGCACACACAUGCAAGUAUUUUUAUUGACCCACCAGCAGCUAGUUUUGAAUGAUGCAUAACUAAAAGGAAAGCUGAAGAAAGACAGGAAAUGCGUGGAGGAGAAAGCGGGACAACCAUACAUCACAGGAGGCCGAGGCCAGGAGUCAAACCUGCAUCCACGGCCUGGAGGACUGUAAAUGAUCUCAACAGAUGUGAUUAUUCCUUUAUCAAAACAGACCUGCAUCCAUUGCUGCUUUCUCUGCCCGGGCCUGGAGGACCUCUUCACUGG
Labrus mixtus (cuckoo wrasse) is the source of this 346-nucleotide long non-coding RNA. RefSeq lists it as uncharacterized. The transcript is spliced from 3 exons. The record is from RefSeq and is a predicted model, not a curated record. Lineage: Eukaryota; Metazoa; Chordata; Actinopteri; Labriformes; Labridae.